Molecule: non-coding RNA, 2269 nt
Organism: Rattus norvegicus (Norway rat)
Lineage: Eukaryota; Metazoa; Chordata; Mammalia; Rodentia; Muridae
Source: RefSeq, a predicted model, not a curated record
UGGAACCUUUAGGAGGUGGAGUCUUGCUGAAGGAGAUCAGGCCUCCAGGUGUUAUGGCCUGGCCUCACUUUUUGCCUGCUGUCUGCUUUCUGACUGCAGACACAGUGUGACCAGUGCCUCAUACUCCUGCUGUGUGCCUUCCCUCUCUUAAUACACUGUACCUCAUCUUAAACUGCAAGCCAGAACCUUCUUGCCUUAUGCUGCUUCCUGCCCGGUGUUUUGUCUCAGAGUAGGAACUGAUACAGUACAAUGUUGAAGCCGAUAUCUUCAACCGCAUCUAGGAGCUAGGAGGCGGGCAGUACAUUGGCUGACCUGUCACUCAACCAGGGAGGGUGAAAGACUUGGAGGGAAGGGGUGCAGCUUACAAGAUGGUCUCAGAGUGAUUCUGGGCUGAGCUGGAGAUAACCCCCCUAAAAGUAUUAGGACAAGUACCACGACUGACUAUUGGGAUUCCGCUGUACACAGGCUGGGCUGGUCUUUGAAGAGGUGGAACUUGGAAGGCAUCACAUUGAUUCCUAUCUCGUUCCUGUGAGCACCUAUAUAAGCAUUAUACUGAUACAUCUUCUAUUAUGGUUGUCUCUCCCUGACCUGUUUUCACCAAAGUUCAGGAGAGUAAGGUUCUAGAAGUAAGGUCAUGGGUUACUUCUAGAAGUAAAGUUCUAGAAGUAAGGUCAUGGGUUUCGCCCGGUGCGUCUGUUUGUCCUUUGUCAGCGCUCGCUGGUUGUCUAGUGUUCUCAGACAGUCUGUCUUGGUCUCAGCACUCUUAUUUCAUCAAUUGUCCUGUUAGAUGUUUAUGUUUUGGUCAGCUUGAAAUACCUGGCAAGAGGGACUGUCAGUUGAAGAACUGCCUUGAUCAGAUCAGAUCGGCCUGUGGUUACAUCUAUGGGGACAUUUUCUUGAUUGUAAUUGAUGCAGGAGGGUCAAGCCCACUGUGGGCAGUGCAAUCCCUAUGAAGAUGGGUCUAGGCUCUCUAAGAAAGGUAGCUGCACAUGAGCCUGGAAGCGAAACAGUAAGCAGCAUUUCUCUGUGGUUCCGGCCUCCUCUUCUGCUUGAGUCCCCACCAUAACUUCCCUCAAGAAUGGGACACAAUGCAGAAGUGUAAGCCAAGCAAACCUCAAGGUGUUUAUCGUCACAACAGAAAAGCAAACCAGGACACCCUCGCUAUAAGGAUCUGUCCAACUGUGUAAGCCUCAUAACAGUGAGAGAGUGCUGGUCUGGAGGAAGCCUUUGGAUCUGUCUUAUGUUACUUGUCUUGUUGAGACAAAAGGAACUUAAGGAAGAAAGCUCUUACCAGGGUUCAUGUUUGAGGGUACAGGCUGUCAUGGUGACCAAACCAUGGCAGCAGGGACUUGAGACAGCUUGGUCACAUUACAUCUGUGGUCAAGAAGCAGAGAGAAGAGGUGGCCAUUGAGUGGCUCCCUUCUCCUUUUUAUUCACUCUGGGACCCCAGUCCAUGGAAAGAUGAGGCCCACAUUUAGGGUUGACAUCAGGGGACACAUUAGGGUCUCUGUAUUCUGGCCCAGGCAGGAUCCCAUAGCCCCAUAGCAGUGUCUGCGAGGCUUAGACUGGAGGAAUGACCAGCUGUCAAAUGGGGAGGCCAAGGAAAGUUUUGUCUGUGGCCAGCUUGGUUCUAAGAUAGGAUUCUGAGCUUGGGUCUGUGUACAGCUCUUUGUUAUGUACAGAGUCGGGAUUUUUGAUCAUUAGGAAUCCCCGAUGUGAUGCGCAAAUGAGAACGUCCAAACAGUUCCUAGUUCUCGAAGUCAUACGUUAGUGAGAACCGGAUGCAGCUGGGUCUGUGCAAGUGUCAUCUCGUCAGCCGCAAAUCACCACAGCAAUCCUGUGACUGAGAAAAAGCCUCUCUUGUGGGUGCUGGGAGGGACGAACAGAUGAAGAGAACGGAUGCAGUAAACCGAGGAGCGGCGAAGUCUGCGGGUUUUCACUACUGCUGCCUCCCAUGCUAUUCUACCUUUCCACUCCCUCCUUGUUUCAACCCGUCUCUAACUGUAACAUGUCACGUGACUUCAGAUCUGGGGUUCUUCCCUCAGAAGCUAAGAUAAAAGGCGAGCCCGGAGUUACCUCAGGACUGGGUGGAACAAGCGGGGCCAAGUUGAGCCAACCUUGGGGCUGAACUGGGAUUGGGGGUGACGGUCAGCAGAAGGAUGUGUGGGCUCUGUGAUUUCUUUGGUUGUAUUGUCCUUUCUCUCUUCUGUCAACGGAAAAGAUGCCCAGGAACCAAGAGACACUUAAAAAUGGACUUGUAUGACAACGA